CUAAUGGCAUUCCUUGUAACUUGUAAGUGAGUUCCAACUCUAGGAUUUAUUUCACAAAAUGGCUGCAAAAAUGUAUAUGUAGAUUGUUCAUAAAAGUAUACAAGUCAUUUUCAUGAAAUCAAAACUUAUAAAAAUCCACUUCAUGUUUUUUUUUGUUUUUUUGAAAUGUUGGGUUAAUUUUGGAAACAAAAAUCUUUUAGUACUAUUUUUGUCAAUCUUCCUACAUUUUAUCCCAAUUUCUAUCUAAUGAAUUU
Molecule: small RNA, 254 nt
Filed under: Arabidopsis thaliana (thale cress)
Lineage: Eukaryota; Viridiplantae; Streptophyta; Magnoliopsida; Brassicales; Brassicaceae
Description: ATSL210160
Source: RNAcentral